UGGUGACGUCCGGUAGCCUACUUGUCUUAU
Molecule: non-coding RNA, 30 nt
Filed under: Homo sapiens (human)
Lineage: Eukaryota; Metazoa; Chordata; Mammalia; Primates; Hominidae
Source: RNAcentral